CAAACAAGAUGGAUACGUACAUUUGACAGGAGAUCUGCCUACCCUUCUAACAUUCCUAUUGACACCACAGAAACAAAAUGGCAGAGAAACCCGUCAUCGCAGAUUUAGACAGUAAUGGAAGCGACGAAACGGUCGGACAGGACGAAGCAGAGAUAGCCUUGAACGGCAUGCACAUGCUGUUGAAUAACGGGUUUGACGAGGCACAAGCACUGUUCGAGAGAUACAAAAAUGAGAGUGCCCUGAUGCAUGCUGGCUAUAGUUUUGUCUACUUCAUGCAAGCAUUAAUGUCAUUCGAAGAAGAACGAAUAGAUGAGGCAGUCAAAGUUUUACAGGAAACAGAGAAGGCAUGCAACACAGAUUCCGGCAUCUUCAAAUCACUGAGGAAAAAAUUAAGAUCCAAGAAAAAGAAAGAGUCGGAGCAGCAGGUGAGUGUAGAGGAACGUAUCCAGCGUCAGGUUGUGGUAGCUGACUCGCUACUGUACCAGUCCAUCUUAGUAAUGACUAGCCAGGACAUCGCCGGCUACAUGAAGGGUGGCUGGCAUCUGCGCAGGGCAUGGAAAAUUUAUGAGAAACUCCACAAGGAGGUGAUCAGUCUACAGGAAAAGCAAGCCAAACUCAAACACAGUCGGUCAAAAAAUAGUCUUCCCCAAAAUCGUGUGAACGCCACUCAGGAAGGGGCUUACGAUGACAAUGAAAAUGAACUCCCAGAGGAGGUUUUGUCCCGUCUUUUGGGGGCUGUUAACUUUGGAUUUGGAACAUUCCAGCUGUGUAUAUCCAUGGUCCCGCCUAAAAUUCUAAAAUUGAUCGAGUUUCUGGGAUUUGAGGGUGACCGUGUAGCGGGACUGGCAGCGUUGGAUCAUACUAGUCGUAGUAAGGACAUGAAAGCACCCCUAGCAACACUUGGGUUGCUAUGGUAUCACACUGUGUUACGACCUUUCUUUGCAUUGGAUGGGGCUAAUGACUGCAGUGCUGGCACAGAAGAUGCGGAACAAAUCAUUGACAGUAAGGAGCGUGAGUUUGAGCAUUCCUCGCUGUUUCUCUUCUUCAGAGGCCGUAUAUGUAAAUUACGGCGGAAGUCAGAUGAAGCUAUGACAAUGUAUUCUCAGGCAUUAGAGGCCGCUGCUGGUCAGAGGGAGAUUGAACUCAUGUGUCAGUAUGAAAUAGGUUGGUGCAAUUUGAUGAAGCUCAACUACAGUGAAUGCCUCAACAACUUCAAACGGUUGAAGGAUGAAACCAAGUGGUCAAAAUGUUACUAUACAUAUCUCAUGGGAGUAUGUCUGGGUGCUAUGGGAGAUUUGCUUGCUGCUGAGGAGACACUGAAGAAGGUACCAGGACUCCUCAAAAAGAAGAACCACCAAAUAGAGGCAUUUGUCUCUCGAAGGGCAGAGAAAAUCAAAAAGAUGGUGUUGACUCAAGAGUAUUGUCGACUUUUAACACUGGAACUGGUCUUCCUUUGGCAUGCUCUUCCUACCUGUACUCCGACGGAACUCCAACCCUACCUCAAUGUUUGUGACAUGCAGACAGAUAUCAAGUCCUUCCACCUGAAGUGUCUCCUGGAGGGAUCUGUGUUUAAGGAGCUUGGUGAAGAGGAACUAGCCAUCCAGUGUUUAGAGGAGGCCAUAGCCAGACACCAGGGUAUGAAGGACGAUCACCACAUAGCAGCAUUCGCCAACUACGAAUUGGCAUCCAUCUAUAUAAAGAAACCAGAGACUGUGGCAAAGGCCAAAUCCUUACUCCAGUAUAUCAAGGAUACGUACAAAGAUUACGACUUUGAGAACCGCCUGACUGUGAGGAUCAACAAUGCUUUAAGAAAGCUAAAGGAAAACGAACUUUCGGCUUAAAGGAAGGAACUUACCAUGCACCUGUAAACCAGGAAAAUCUUCAUACUUCCUUCCAUACGUUUCUGUUUUACUUGAACAAGUGUGGGUUAGUUAGUUCAUUGGGAGAUGUUGUUCACAGACAUUUUAUAUGGUUGAUAAAGUUGAGAUAAAGAUUGUUAAACACAGCCAAGGUUACUAAGGUUGACUGGCUAGGUUACCCUGACAAUGACUCUACACUAUGUAUAGCGUAACCAUAGAAACCUACUGGGGGGGGGGGGAUCUAUAAUCCUCGGAAUUAGGGGAACAGGAGAGGUAUAGUCCCAUGGAUUUAUCAGCUUCUUGUUAUAGGGAUCAUUGCAAAGGGGGCAGGACAAAUCUAUGGUUAUUGGGAUCCCUGUGAGGGGGCAGGUCAGAUCUAUGGAAGGGUAUGAAGUUUACCUAUUAGUGAUUUUUUAUGCACUAGUAUCAUUUACUCAAGAGUAAAUUUAUAAAUAGAAAAUGUAAAAUAUUGCUAUCUGAUGUCGUUUUAUUUUGAUUGUUAGCUGUUUGCUUUUGUAAAAAGAAAUACUCAAUAAGUUAAAUGAAAAUUUGCAUUUGAGGGAAAUGAAAAUUCAGGUUAAGGAUGUAUGCUAUCAUACUGUAUCCUGCAUCCCAUUUUAAAAGAGUUCUACAUUAAAAGUUUAAGAAGCUUGUAUGAAAUUGGUCAUUUUGAUUUAUUGAUAAAUUGAUAAAGCAUAUGAAAUGUGCAAAAUAAUAUCUCAUGCAUUGAAAACACUAGGGCUAUUAGAGAUUUCUUUUAGGGGGAGAUAACUGUUCCACAAAUCAAAGGUAUAAAGUGAAAGGUAGCAUAUAGCCUUAACUGAUAAAUCUUAUGUCAGCUGAUGUACCAAUCAUAGAGGUCUCCCACCCAAAUUGUUAUUUGUCCCUGUUUGACGUAAAAAGUUAAGGUCUUGUGGCACUUUUGCCAUAGAUUUUGCUAAUUGUGUGUGACUGUCAUGCUGAAAUAUUUUGUUAGGAGUAAUGUUUUCUGCAUGAAUUGUUCAAUGAUUUGUUACAAAAAUGCAGUUAUGAUUUUUGUGAAAUAUUUUUAUUAGGUUUGACAACAUCACAGUAUUAUCCAAUUUUGAAGAUGCCUUUAUUGUUGGUAGAGUAAGAGAAAGUUGAUUGGUUGAGAGCAUUAACAUAUCACCAAUGAGAUCCAUUGUUACAUAAAUAAGGUAUAUCCUGUCAUUUUACAUGACCUUUGACCCAUAUUAUCUGAAUCCAUUAUCAUACUCCAUAUUAAAUUGUCUACCUGGCACUGCAGGCUGACAAGUUGUUUUUUGGAUCAAAAACUUUGCAUUUGAUUACAUGUCCAUCUAGUUAUUGGAUUGACCAUAUAGUAACUUACGGAUCCGCUACAUGCCAACAAGUCACCAAAGAGCAUUGACAAUAUAUUGUAUGACAACAGUAGUUUGUUUUUCCUACAGUGGCUCAAAGCUACUAAAUAUUAAUGCAACUUAUGGUGUGUUAAACGAUGACAAGACACAACACAAAUUUUGUUUCCUCCCAAAGGGCCUAUCCUGGUGAAGAGCCCAGGGCCUGCAUUUAUGAAACCGUUUUCAUGCUCAAACUCAGAUUUUGUGCUGAAAUCCCAUUUUGUGUUCCAGUGAUAAAGUUAUAAGAUUUCACAUUAUGUCAAGAAUUUUCGAGAGACAUUCACUUAAAUAGCAUUUUUAGUGUCAAGACUUGAAUGUUUGACCUAAUAGUGUCUCAUGAUUUACCACAGUAUGUAAGUUACAAGAAAGCUGAUUUGAGCACAGAAUCCAUGCUUAAGCAUAAAAACAGCUUCAUGAACACAGGCUCUGAAGAAUUAUAUGCUGGGAAAGCUAUAAUACUUAAAUCAGAAUGCAGGCUCUGAAAAUCCUUCUUACUGGAGGGUCAACCCCUCCAAAAUGGAAAGCAAUCUGCCAAUUGAAAUGUUGUCAUAGCUAUAGAUUCUCAUUGCCUUUGGUCACAUUGAGAACUGUGAUAAGAUAUAUAUUAUUAUUUAGAUGUUUUUGUAGGUUGUGCUUUUAUACAUACAUAUAUAUAUAUAACCAAGAUAUAUACACCAUUAUUCUGUAGCUAGAGUUGUUCCCCUUAUAUUACUUGAUAAAAGAGGAACUUGUGAGUGCUUUUAUCUAAAACAGCCUAAACGUUUUAGUGCUUGUUACAGCACUUAAGAUACUAUCUAAAACCACCUAUUUAUUGUAAGUAUGACAGAAAGACCGCUGUUUUAAACCACCUAGACCUUUCUAGGGUUUGUGGGGGAGAGACAUUUUAGUGCUUGUUAUAUAUAAUCACUGUUAAAAUACUAUUAGGCGGACCUGCAAAUGUUUAUGCAGGCCUUGCAAGCAUUUGUCAAGGCUGGCCUGAAAGCAGCUUCAGAUUUCUAGGUCCGACCUUAUUUAAUAAACGAACAAUUAUGGUCCGACCGGUUCAACCGUUUAAACGUAAACGGCCAUGGACAUUACUUUGUGUGUAUAGUAUACUGUAGAGUAGCUUCCCUUUGUUUAAAUGCUCAUAUUAAUUGUACGUGUCGUAAUGUUGUUUGGGACCAUAGAACAUGAAGGAGAACAAGGUAUCCUAUAAGAAAAUGAUCAGGGACCAAGAUUUACUGAGUUAUUCAGGUUCAAUUAUAGAUCAGGUAAAAACCAAGUCAUUCUUAUGCUUGCUAUCAAAAUUUGUUUCGACCCAAAGUUUUUUUUAUCAUCAUAUAAAUCAUGCAAAAGAGUGUGGAAUUUUGUAUCAGAGAAAACUAAGAAUUAUGAUGAUUGGCAUAAUUUGAAGGAAAAAAAUUUGGAGAUUGUAAAAUACAAAUUUCCACUUAAGGAUUGAUUCAGGAGCUUAACUAAAAUAAGUCAUUAUUCCAUAUGGAUAUGCUUAUGAGGUGCAUAUUGAUGAAUACAGGGUAAAAUAUUGUAUUUGCUAUGAUGUAGAUGUGCCAUUCUUACCGGUGGUUUUGUCCAAUGUCUUCAUGUCACCGUGGUGUUUUCUGUCAUUUUAGUCUGAGAAUGUAAAUCUGCAGUAAGUUUUGAAUCUUUGGACAAAAAUAAAAAACAAGAAUUCAACUUUGUUACUGAUUCUAUAUGAAGUGUGCUAUAUAACCAUGACUCCCUACUUCAAGAACAAAACAUUAAUUUAUUUGUGAAUAAUAAUCAUGACAACAUGCUUCAAGUCCAAAAUUUGGAUGUAAAAUAUAUCUUAUCCUGACUAAUGAAUAACUUCAUAUUAAAUUCUGUACAACUGUAUGUUGUCUGGUAGUAGAUUAAACGAAUAUGAUGAUGUCAUAUUUUUGUGCUGAAAUAAACAUGACAUGUAAGUAACCGAUGUUUGUGUCAGUUUUGUAAGCAAAUUUCUUGUAUUAACACAACUUACACAAAGCUUUUUGUUAGUUAUAAUUUUUUUUUUUUUUUUUUUUUUCAUCUUGUACAGAUUUGCAGAAUCAUAAUAAGAGUUUAAUGCUAGCUUGAAAAUUACAUAGAAAUAUUAUGAGUUAACUGCUUCAUACUAUAUGCUUCAAUGCCUAAAUUAUCUCCCCUGUUACGCUACCUGCCAACUUAUGCUCUAUCUAUGAGAUACAGUACUGAUCUUGUACCUACUUGUAUAUGUAACAUUAUAUACAUGUAAGUAAUAUCUCUGUCACUGUCGUUAAUAUUGAACCACAUUAAUUUCAACUCUUGUUUUUUGUUUAUAUGUUGAGAUUUGCUAAGGUACCAGUAAUUUACUAACGUGGUAUUAAGUCAUUCAGUGUUUGCUUUGUAUAAGAAUUUUUUGCUUUAGACAAUUUGAGUACUGUGUAUGUACAGCUCACCAGAUGCUAUUACUGAUAUAUACAUAGUGUAUGUAUGUUUGUGAGAAUCAAAAUUGUCUCCCUUUUCAUUUGGUGUACCAAUAUAUUAGUUUUGGUAGCGCGACAGAGACACAGAAAUAUGAUAUGUACGAUACAGUACAGGAGAACUAUACAAUAGUAGAAGAGGAAAUUAUUGCAGUGUGAAAAUGUUUAUGUUUUUGUGUUGAGUAAAUGAAGGUGAAAAUACCUGCGCACGAAAAUUUCCACAUCGUGUACAGUUCCACACACGAAAGUUACCACUUUUAUAGUAUUUGAAAAAGGUUUGAGCAUGAAAACUGUAAUACGAAAUAAAGUAUAAACAUACAUUUAAGAAAACCUAUACAUGAUAAUACACUCCAUACGCUAAAAUAUUUACUAGAAAGCAAUUCAUGUUUCCAUAGCAACAUGAUUUGGCCAGACUGCCUUGGUCAAUCUGGUAUGUGGAUUUCUGGGAAAUAAUUUUCUUCAAAAUUGUAAUUGAAUUUAGUUACAAUACUGCAUACCCUGAAUUUUAAUUUUUGAUUGGUUUUUGAUUUUCAGAAUUACUUGUUAACUUGUGAAAAAUGUAUUGGCAAUUGGUGUAUUUUGUUCUACCAAUGGACUGAUAAAGAUUUUACCAUUUGAAAAACUCCUUUUCCAAGUGAAGUGCAGAACUCUGUUUUGUCCAUAAAUAAUUUUGAUAUUACUGUUCUUCAUUGCUAUACAUAAUGCAACCUUUGUAAAACGAGUUAAUGCUUCAGUGUUUAAUCUGUCUCUGUGUAAGUUCUGGUUAUGUACCCAUCAGUCAUGGUCGUAAUGUUGAAAGCACUGCCUGUAUCAGCUCUCAUGGUUUACCUUGCUAACUACUAACAAACCAUGUUUGACAAACAGAAAAUUUACCAGAUAUCAUUCCACAGCUUGCCUGUUUGGUGCUAUAUCAAUAAAAAUGAAAUUUUCCAUAAGAAAAAAACAAACCAUUUACAUCUUUUUUCAGUUAAAUAAUAAGCUAACAAUUGGAAUCAAACUGAUUGUCCUACCUUAUCGCCCCAGAGUUGCUUAGACCGGGAAUAUUUAAACUGCUAAAUCAAAUUAAACAGGGUAUAUAUUGUAGAUACGUGCUAUUAGAAAUUCAAAUUUCUUAACUUUUUUUAUGGAGGAUAUUGGAACCUUUUAUUCAAGGAGAGUUAUAAGUGAUAUUUUUAAUGUGGGGAAUAAAUAUAUUUAAAACCACCAGUAAGUUCACUUUUUGAACUGAAAGUCUGUAUUGUUUUGAUCUCCAGGGAACUGUGUGUGAUCUCCUCUUUACCACAAAGUUAACACAGGGUACAGCAUUCACCAACCUGAUCUCGCUGCUGUUCCAGGUCUUGGAUCAGAGCACAGCGUUCACCAACCUGAUCUCGCUGCUGUUCCAGGUCUUAGAUCAGAGCACAGCGUUCACAAGUUCAGAUGGCCAUAUCGUUGCCAGUCAUUAUUGUCCUUUCUCAUCAACGCUACAUCCAAAUUUAAAUAUCUUCUUGAUUUUGCAUAUACUUCAUCUGCUGUAUUUAGUAUUCAUUAUCAAAUUCAGCUUCAUGUGAAUUUAUCUUUGUAAAAUAUAUACAAAUAUUUAUACCACAUUGAAAGUUUGCACAAAUUUAUAUACAAUUACCGGUAAAUCAGAUGGUUUCUAGGCACUGUUUUGACAUUUGAAUAUUAUGCAUGUGUUUAUAAUCUGAAAAUUAUAAACUACCAUUCCUUGUAAAUAUUCAUAAGCCUACAUUUUAAUCUCUCAGGCACCAAGAUGGACCAAUUAAAGUUUGUUUUAUGACAGCACUGUUGUAAACUUUCGAUGUCUGAAAUCUGAUUCUGUUAACCAGAUUAUGCAGUGGUACAUAUGUAUUAUCCAUAGACCAACCCAGUUUCAUUUUAAGUUGGCCCCAUCCCCCUUCAAACCAGAUUGCUUGACAUAGUAUGUUUAAUGGGAGGUGAAGGGGAGGAGUAUAUAAAACAGCACGUCUUAAAAAUAAUUCUGAGACGAACCCUCUAACCAGGCCAUGCAUGGAUCUCCUUAUUUCUAUUAUCUGACUUCUAAUAAAGUGAAACUACUUUUUGUUAUAACUGAUCCCACAUAUUAUAUCAUAAUCAUGUAUAUUGUACAUAUCAUAUUAACUACUUCUUUUUAUGAACACCUCUUUUAACCUAAAUGUAUAAAUGUCAUAUUUGAUGAUGAAUUCUGACCCUAAUUUUUGUGUUGUGAUCAAUUUAUUUUAGAGUUUCCCCUUUGUGACCCCAAAAGGCGUACAUGGUUUUACAUUCUCUGUUUUAGGAAAAAACCCUUUCCGGCCUCUAUUUCUAGUGUAGUUUAUUUUCUUAAAUGUGUGUUAUCUGGUCCUCCAUGUAUUUAAGUUGUAUUUAUCUACUCAUACUUAUCAAGUUUUUCUGAAAGUAAUAUUAGAGUGAUCUACUUUGAAUUAAACAGUUCUAAAACAAAAGUUGUUAGUGUGCAAACAGUAUGUCUGUAGAAUUGAUAGAUAUGUGUUGAAUUGAAAGUGAAAAUAUGAUUAAAAGAAAUUCUUAAUCAUGAAA
This 8217-nucleotide unclassified non-coding RNA is filed under the name Mizuhopecten yessoensis (Yesso scallop). RNAcentral describes it as "tetratricopeptide repeat protein 39C-like, transcript variant X1". The record is from RNAcentral. Lineage: Eukaryota; Metazoa; Mollusca; Bivalvia; Pectinida; Pectinidae.